This 73-nucleotide transfer RNA is filed under the name Ictidomys tridecemlineatus (thirteen-lined ground squirrel). RNAcentral's name for it is "Spermophilus tridecemlineatus (thirteen-lined ground squirrel) tRNA". It matches the Rfam family "tRNA". Rfam says of the family: Transfer RNA (tRNA) molecules are approximately 80 nucleotides in length. Their secondary structure includes four short double-helical elements and three loops (D, anti-codon, and T loops). Lineage: Eukaryota; Metazoa; Chordata; Mammalia; Rodentia; Sciuridae. The record is from Rfam by way of RNAcentral.
GGGGAUAUAGCUCAGUUGGUAGAGUGCUUGCCUUGCAUGCACAAGGCCCUGGGUUCAAUCCCCAUCAUCAUCA